RNAcentral lists this ribosomal RNA (2889 nucleotides) under Aeromonas hydrophila. Its description in RNAcentral is "23S ribosomal RNA". It matches the Rfam family "Bacterial large subunit ribosomal RNA". The record is from RNAcentral. Lineage: Bacteria; Pseudomonadati; Pseudomonadota; Gammaproteobacteria; Aeromonadales; Aeromonadaceae.
GGUUAAGUGACUAAGCGUACAUGGUGGAUGCCUUGGCAGUCAGAGGCGAUGAAGGACGUACUAACCUGCGAUAAGCCGUGAGCAGUCGGUAAGAGACAUUACGACUCACGGAUUUCCGAAUGGGGAAACCCACUUAGCAUAAGCUAGGUAUCGCUACGUGAAUACAUAGCGUAGCGAGGCGAACCGGGAGAACUGAAACAUCUAAGUACCCCGAGGAAAAGAAAUCAACCGAGAUUCCCUCAGUAGCGGCGAGCGAACGGGGAUUAGCCCUUAAGCAUCUUGGAAGUUAGUGGAACGGUCCUGGAAAGGCCGGCGAUACAGGGUGAUAGCCCCGUACACGAAAACAACCUUGAUGUGAAAUCGAGUAGGGCGGGACACGUGACAUCCUGUCUGAAUAUGGGGGGGACCAUCCUCCAAGGCUAAAUACUCCUGACUGACCGAUAGUGAACCAGUACCGUGAGGGAAAGGCGAAAAGAACCCCUGUGAGGGGAGUGAAAUAGAACCUGAAACCGUGUACGUACAAGCAGUGGGAGCCCUUCGGGGUGACUGCGUACCUUUUGUAUAAUGGGUCAGCGACUUACAUUUUGUAGCGAGGUUAACCGUAUAGGGGAGCCGUAGGGAAACCGAGUCUUAACUGGGCGUCUAGUUGCAAGGUGUAGACCCGAAACCGGGUGAUCUAGCCAUGGGCAGGUUGAAGGUUGAGUAACAUCAACUGGAGGACCGAACCCACUAACGUUGCAAAGUUAGGGGAUGACCUGUGGCUGGGGGUGAAAGGCCAAUCAAACUCGGAGAUAGCUGGUUCUCCCCGAAAGCUAUUUAGGUAGCGCCUCGGACGAAUACUAUGGGGGUAGAGCACUGUUUGGGCUAGGGGGUCAUCCCGACUUACCAACCCCAUGCAAACUCCGAAUACCAGUAAGUAAUAUCCGGGAGACACACGGCGGGUGCUAACGUCCGUCGUGAAGAGGGAAACAACCCAGACCGCCGGCUAAGGUCCCAAAGUUCUGGUUAAGUGGGAAACGAUGUGGGAAGGCUCAGACAGCUAGGAUGUUGGCUUAGAAGCAGCCAUCAUUUAAAGAAAGCGUAAUAGCUCACUAGUCGAGUCGGCCUGCGCGGAAGAUGUAACGGGGCUCAAACCAGGCACCGAAGCCGCGGAUUCACGCUAAGUGUGAGUGGUAGGGGAGCGUUCUGUAAGUCUGCGAAGGUGUGUCGAGAGGCAUGCUGGAGAUAUCAGAAGUGCGAAUGCUGACGUAAGUAACGAUAAAGGGGGUGAAAAGCCUCCUCGCCGGAAGACCAAGGGUUCCUGUCCAACGUUAAUCGGGGCAGGGUGAGUCGACCCCUAAGGCGAGGCCGAAAGGCGUAGUCGAUGGGAAGCAGGUUAAUAUUCCUGCACGACUUGUAAUUGCGAUGGGGGGACGGAGAAGGCUAGGUGGGCCAGGCGACGGUUGUCCUGGUGAAAGUGCGUAGGUGGUGUUUCUAGGCAAAUCCGGAGACACAACACUGAGACACGAGACGAACACACUACGGUGUGGAAGCCAUUGAUGCCCUGCUUCCAGGAAAAGCCUCUAAGCUUCAGAUUACAAGUCAUCGUACCCCAAACCGACACAGGUGGUCGGGUAGAGAAUACCAAGGCGCUUGAGAGAACUCGGGUGAAGGAACUAGGCAAAAUAGAACCGUAACUUCGGGAGAAGGUUCGCUCUUGACAGUGAAGUCCCUUGCGGAUGGAGCAGUUGGGAGUCGCAGUGACCAGAUGGCUGGGACUGUUUAUCAAAAACACAGCACUCUGCAAACACGAAAGUGGACGUAUAGGGUGUGACACCUGCCCGGUGCCGGAAGGUUAAUUGAUGGGGUUAGCGCAAGCGAAGCUCUUGAUCGAAGCCCCGGUAAACGGCGGCCGUAACUAUAACGGUCCUAAGGUAGCGAAAUUCCUUGUCGGGUAAGUUCCGACCUGCACGAAUGGUGUAACCAUGGCCAUGCUGUCUCCACCCGAGACUCAGUGAAAUCGAAUUCGCCGUGAAGAUGCGGUGUACCCGCGGCUAGACGGAAAGACCCCGUGAACCUUUACUACAGCUUGGCACUGAACAUUGAACCUACAUGUGUAGGAUAGGUGGGAGGCUUUGAAGGCGUGACGCCAGUUGCGCUGGAGCCGUCCUUGAAAUACCACCCUUGUAUGUUUGAUGUUCUAACGCAGGCCCGUGAAUCCGGGUCGCGGACAGUGCCUGGUGGGUAGUUUGACUGGGGCGGUCUCCUCCCAAAGAGUAACGGAGGAGCACGAAGGUUGGCUAAUCCUGGUCGGACAUCAGGAGGUUAGUGCAAUGGCAUAAGCCAGCUUAACUGCGAGACGGACAGGUCGAGCAGGUACGAAAGUAGGUCAUAGUGAUCCGGUGGUUCUGAAUGGAAGGGCCAUCGCUCAACGGAUAAAAGGUACUCCGGGGAUAACAGGCUGAUACCGCCCAAGAGUUCAUAUCGACGGCGGUGUUUGGCACCUCGAUGUCGGCUCAUCACAUCCUGGGGCUGAAGUCGGUCCCAAGGGUAUGGCUGUUCGCCAUUUAAAGUGGUACGCGAGCUGGGUUCAGAACGUCGUGAGACAGUUCGGUCCCUAUCUGCCGUGGGCGUUGGAUGAUUGAAGGGAGUUGCUCCUAGUACGAGAGGACCGGAGUGAACGAACCUCUGGUGUUCGGGUUGUCACGCCAGUGGCACUGCCCGGUAGCUAAGUUCGGAAUCGAUAACCGCUGAAAGCAUCUAAGCGGGAAGCGAGCCCUGAGAUGAGUCAUCCCUGACCCCUUGAGGGUCCUAAAGGGCCGUUGGAGACCACAACGUUGAUAGGUGGGGUGUGUAAGCGCGGCGACGUGUUGAGCUAACCCAUACUAAUUACCCGUGAGGCUUAACCAU